GGUAGCUUAAUGGUAAAGCACCCAACCGGCAAUUGGGAGACCUGGGUUCAAGUCCCAACC
This 60-nucleotide transfer RNA is filed under the name Strigamia maritima. It matches the Rfam family "tRNA", at positions 6 to 65 of the family's 71-position model. From Rfam's summary of the family: Transfer RNA (tRNA) molecules are approximately 80 nucleotides in length. Their secondary structure includes four short double-helical elements and three loops (D, anti-codon, and T loops). Further hydrogen bonds mediate the characteristic L-shaped molecular structure. tRNAs have two regions of fundamental functional importance: the anti-codon, which is responsible for specific mRNA codon recognition, and the 3' end, to which the tRNAs corresponding amino acid is attached (by aminoacyl-tRNA synthetases). tRNAs cope with the degeneracy of the genetic code in two manners: having more than one tRNA (with a specific anti-codon) for a particular amino acid; and 'wobble' base-pairing, i.e. permitting non-standard base-pairing at the 3rd anti-codon position. Lineage: Eukaryota; Metazoa; Arthropoda; Chilopoda; Geophilomorpha; Linotaeniidae. The record is from Rfam by way of RNAcentral.